UACGAAGGGGGCUAGCGUUGCUCGGAAUCACUGGGCGUAAAGCGCACGUAGGCGGGUCCUUAAGUCAGGGGUGAAAUCCCGGAGCUCAACUCCGGAACUGCCUUUGAUACUGGGGAGCUUGAGUCCGGAAGAGGUGAGUGGAACUCCGAGUGUAGAGGUGAAAUUCGUAGAUAUUCGGAAGAACACCAGUGGCGAAGGCGGCUCACUGGUCCGGUACUGACGCUGAGGUGCGAAAGCGUGGGGAGCAAACAGG
RNAcentral lists this ribosomal RNA (253 nucleotides) under uncultured bacterium. RNAcentral's name for it is "partial 16S ribosomal RNA". It matches the Rfam family "Bacterial small subunit ribosomal RNA", at positions 524 to 776 of the family's 1533-position model. The record is from RNAcentral.